Molecule: ribosomal RNA, 253 nt
Filed under: uncultured bacterium
Lineage: Bacteria
Description: partial 16S ribosomal RNA
Rfam family: Bacterial small subunit ribosomal RNA
Source: RNAcentral
UACGUAGGGUGCAGGCGUUAAUCGGAAUUACUGGGCGUAAAGGGCUCGUAGGUGGCCAACUAAGUCGGAUGUGAAAUCCCCAAGCUUAACUUGGGAACUGCAUCCGAUACUGGAUGGCUUGAAUCCGGGAGAGGGAUGCAGAAUUCCAGGUGUAGCGGUGAAAUGCGUAGAUAUCUGGAGGAAUACCGGUGGCGAAGGCGGCAUCCUGGACCGGCAUUGACGCUGAGGAGCGAAAGCUAGGGGAGCAAACGGG